RNAcentral lists this ribosomal RNA (480 nucleotides) under uncultured bacterium. RNAcentral's name for it is "partial 16S ribosomal RNA". It matches the Rfam family "Bacterial small subunit ribosomal RNA", at positions 28 to 523 of the family's 1533-position model. The record is from RNAcentral.
GACGAACGCUGGCGGCGUGCUUAACACAUGCAAGUCGAGCGAUGAAGCACCUUCGGGUGUGGAUUAGCGGCGAACGGGUGAGGAACACGUGAGGAGUCUGCCUUUCACUUCGGGAUAACUCCGGGAAACCGGGGCUAAUACCGGAUAUUUUCAACUGGCGGCAUCGCCGGUUGAAGAAAGUUUUUCGGUGAAAGAUGACCUCGCGGCCUAUCAGCUUGUUGGUGAGGUAAUGGCUCACCAAGGCGACGACGGGUAGCCGGCCUGAGAGGGCGACCGGCCACACUGGGACUGAGACACGGCCCAGACUCCUACGGGAGGCAGCAGUGGGGAAUAUCGGGCAAUGGAGGAAACUCUGACCCAGCGACGCCGCGUGAGGGAUGAAGGCCUUCGGGUUGUAAACCUCUUUCAGCAGGGAAUAAGCGAAAGUGAAGGUACCUACAGAAGAAGCACCGGCUAACUAUGUGCCAGCCGCCGCCGUAA